RNAcentral lists this long non-coding RNA (412 nucleotides) under Bos taurus (domestic cattle). RNAcentral describes it as "long non-coding RNA NONBTAT022772". The record is from RNAcentral. Lineage: Eukaryota; Metazoa; Chordata; Mammalia; Artiodactyla; Bovidae.
AGAAUUUGAUUAAGGUUUGCAAUCAACCUUUCAGUGUGUAAGAUGAUUUAUAGUUUAAAUUUUGAUUUAUGAAUAGAUUAAAUCUGUUUAAAUAUUUAGAGAAAAUUUACCUGGUAUACUUGUAAGUAUAAUUACAUUGAACAUUAAAGAAAUAGCAAGUAGUAAAUUUGAUUGUUUGUACACACAAAAACUUGAAAGUCAACUCCUGAGAAGGUCUCCAAAGUUGGUUGGAGUUGGGAACAGGUGUGAUGUGUGGCAUGAACUAAUGGCACUUACGUUCAGCACAUUCAGCCGUCCACUUCCUAUGUCCCAGGACUCUUGGCUAUUAAUUCCAGUAUAAAUGAGGGAGGCUGACUUUCACUCAAAUUUUUUUUUGAGUGAUAUUAUAUUUAUAUCACUAACUCUAUAUCAC